GAGAGGGUGAUCGGCCACACUGGGACUGAGACACGGCCCAGACUCCUACGGGAGGCAGCAGUGGGGAAUAUUGCACAAUGGGCGAAAGCCUGAUGCAGCGACGCCGCGUGGGGGAUGACGGCCUUCGGGUUGUAAACCUCUUUCAGUAGGGACGAAGCGCAAGUGACGGUACCUGCAGAAGAAGCGCCGGCCAACUACGUGCCAGCAGCCGCGGUAAUACGUAGGGUGCGAGCGUUGUCCGGAAUUACUGGGCGUAAAGAGCUCGUAGGCGGUUUGUCGCGUCGUCCGUGAAAACUCGGAGCUUAACUCCGAGCUUGCGGGCGAUACGGGCAGACUUGAGUACGACAGGGGAGACUGGAAUUCCUGGUGUAGCGGUGAAAUGCGCAGAUAUCAGGAGGAACACCGGUGGCGAAGGCGGGUCUCUGGGUAGUAACUGACGCUGAGGAGCGAAAGCAUGGGGAGCGAACAGGAUUAGAUACCCUGGUAGUCCAUGCCGUAAACGUUGGGCGCUAGGUGUGGGGGCCUUCCACGGAUUCCG
This 538-nucleotide ribosomal RNA is filed under the name Dietzia sp. CKS_01. Its description in RNAcentral is "bacterial SSU rRNA". It matches the Rfam family "Bacterial small subunit ribosomal RNA", at positions 294 to 843 of the family's 1533-position model. Lineage: Bacteria; Bacillati; Actinomycetota; Actinomycetes; Mycobacteriales; Dietziaceae. The record is from RNAcentral.